GGGAGUGUGGUCUAGUGGUAUGAUACCCGCUUUGGGAGUUUCUUCUCGAAUAUGCGGGUGGCCCGGGGUUCAAUUCCCCGCUCUCCCC
Naumovozyma castellii is the source of this 88-nucleotide transfer RNA. It matches the Rfam family "tRNA". From Rfam's summary of the family: Transfer RNA (tRNA) molecules are approximately 80 nucleotides in length. Their secondary structure includes four short double-helical elements and three loops (D, anti-codon, and T loops). The record is from Rfam. Lineage: Eukaryota; Fungi; Ascomycota; Saccharomycetes; Saccharomycetales; Saccharomycetaceae.